Molecule: ribosomal RNA, 492 nt
Filed under: uncultured bacterium
Lineage: Bacteria
Description: partial 16S ribosomal RNA
Rfam family: Bacterial small subunit ribosomal RNA
Source: RNAcentral
AUUGAACGCUGGCGGCAUGCUUUACACAUGCAAGUCGAACGGUAACAGGCCUUCGGGUGCUGACGAGUGGCGAACGGGUGAGUAAUGCAUCGGAACGUACCCAGAGGUGGGGGAUAACGCAGCGAAAGCUGUGCUAAUACCGCAUGUGAUCUGAGGAUGAAAGCGGGGGACCGAGCAGCAAUGUUUGGCCUCGCGCCUUUGGAGCGGCCGAUGUCGGAUUAGCUAGUUGGUGGGGUAAAGGCCUACCAAGGCGACGGUCCGUAGCUGGUCUGAGAGGACGACCAGCCACACUGGGACUGGGACACGGCCCAGACUCCUACGGGAGGCAGCAGUGGGGAAUUUUGGACAAUGGGCGCAAGCCUGAUCCAGCAAUGCCGCGUGCGGGAAGAAGGCCUUCGGGUUGUAAACCGCUUUUGGCAGGAACGAAACGGUGUCCGCUAAUACCGGGCGCUAAUGACGGUACCUGCAGAAUAAGCACCGGCUAACUACGUG